Molecule: ribosomal RNA, 273 nt
Filed under: uncultured bacterium
Lineage: Bacteria
Description: partial small subunit ribosomal RNA
Rfam family: Bacterial small subunit ribosomal RNA
Source: RNAcentral
AGAAUCAACGCUGGCGGCGUGCCUAACACAUGCAAGUCGAACGCGAAAACCCCGAAAGGGAUUAGUAGAGUGGCAAACGGGUGAGUAACGCGUGGGUGACCUGCCUUCGAGUGGGGGGAUAACGUCCCGAAAGGGACGCUAAUACCGCAUAACAUCCUGCCUUUGAAAAGGUGGACAUCAAAGCCGGGGACCGCAAGGCCUGGCGCUUGAAGAGGGGCCCGCGCCUGAUUAGCUAGUUGGUGGGGUAAUGGCUCACCAAGGCAACGAUCAGUA